Hordeum vulgare subsp. vulgare (domesticated barley) is the source of this 486-nucleotide long non-coding RNA. RefSeq lists it as uncharacterized. NCBI's taxonomy places the organism in Eukaryota, Viridiplantae, Streptophyta, Magnoliopsida, Poales, Poaceae. The record is from RefSeq and is a predicted model, not a curated record. The transcript is spliced from 2 exons.
AGGCGGAGGUAAAUGACAAGCCUUUAGCUGCACCUAAGCAAUAUCCUUGUUUGGGCCUGCAAGAAGUAUCAACAAUGAAAAUCAUUGUGAUGGUCAUCAUGGCAGUGGUUAUUAUCAAUUCAUGCCCAUCUGUCCAUCCAAGGAAUAUCGAAGAGAAUGUAAUGCUAGUGAAAGACAUGCGCAAACUGACUUCUAGUUCUAUUAAUGGAAGGAGUACCCCUGCUGGUGAGGAAAUACAUCAUUCGUGUCCACUAGGGAACUACCCCUGCGAAGGGAUGUUCCAUAGUUCCAAGGAGAGCACAGAAGGUGGAGGAAACUAACUCCCACUGUUACCAUGGAAAAUAAAUUGAAGAUAAGUAAUAGUGUGAUAUCACGUAUGUGCUUGUUAUGUAAAUUGUAUCUUGCUUUGUAAAACUUAAUGUUCAAGUACGUGUAUAUUGUACUUCUGAAAUAUUAUAUUUAUAGAUACGAGUCUUAAAAAAUCAA